Molecule: ribosomal RNA, 319 nt
Filed under: uncultured eukaryote
Lineage: Eukaryota
Description: partial 18S ribosomal RNA
Rfam family: Eukaryotic small subunit ribosomal RNA
Source: RNAcentral
CCCUUAGAUGUUCUGGGCAGCACGCGCGCUACAAUGGUCUUCGCAAAUGGAUGCAUUCUCGAAGGAGAAUGCCAAUCUUGGAAUCUAUGCCUUGGUCGGGACAGUUGCUUGCAAUUUUUCGACUCGAACCAGGAAUUCCUUGUAAUCGUGAUUCAUCACAUCACGAUGAAUACGUCCCUGCCCUUUGUACACACCGCCCGUCGCUCCUACCGAUCGAAGAGUUAGGUGAAUUGUUUUGAUCGAUAAGAUUUGACUAUGGUCAACUCUCGUUGUGAAAUUCUGUGAAGCUGACUGUUUAGAGGAAGGAAAAGUCGUAACA